Biomphalaria pfeifferi is the source of this 1798-nucleotide non-coding RNA. NCBI's taxonomy places the organism in Eukaryota, Metazoa, Mollusca, Gastropoda, Planorbidae. The record is from the annotation of a GenBank genome assembly.
UAUAUAUACUCUACAUUUGUGCAUUCAAAUGUUUAUUGUAUACACAUUUAUGACAUGGAUGAAAAUAGAAACAGUUUUGUUUUUCUCUAAUGUCAUGUGAUUUGUGAUAGUUCAUCUUCCCUUCACUUUUGUUUUAAAAAAAAAACAACAACAAAAAAAAACAAAAAACUUUUAUUUGCCAAAUUGUGUAUUUAGCAUAAUGAAAUGAAAUUGUUGACUAGAUUUGUUGUGUGUGAGUGUGUGUGUAUUUAGUGUGAGUCUGUAAGAGUUCCAGAUGUUUUAGGCUUAUAUUGACCUACUUGGGGGUGUCUUGAUUGUAAAUAGAUUUUGUUUCAUUCUCCCUUCUAUUGAAAAUGCGACCUUUCCAGCUGUCAGUGAGUCAACUGGGUGCAUAGUUUUGUGUGUAUAUAUAUAUAUAUACAUAGAAUUAUAUACAUACAGAAUUCAAUACAUAUAUGUCUAUAGUUAGUUGAUUAUGUAAUGUGUACAUGAAGUGCCUGGUUGUCAGAUUAAUACAUAUGUCUCUUUUUUUUUUUAAAUGGUAGUUCUGGUAUUUUUUCUUUAAAGGGUUAGUUUAUUGUUAACAAAAAAUUUUUGAGGGUGGUAAUUUGUGUAGAUGUUCUAUGCAAUGAGAAAAAGAUUGUCAAACAAACAAAAAGUGCAUUCAAUGAUGGCUAUUGCUUGACUUUGGUCUACCUAUUAAAUUUCAAUAGUACACAAUUAUUAGUUUCAACGUUGAGACAAGGUUUAUUCAGACCUUUUUUUUUAUCCUCACAGAGCCAACUCAUCAUCAUUAUUGUUUCUCUUACCGCUGUUAUUUAAAUUGUUUCCAGAUUAUUUGUAUUCUUCUGGUUUCUCCUGUACAUGUUCAGAAACAUUUUAGUUGAAUUCAUUUCAUCCAUUGCAUUUCAUUUUUAUUCCAAAAUGAUUGUGCCCCUCAAUCCCCCCCCCCUUUUUUUUUUCCCAAUCAUUUAAAAAAAAAACCUAGAUAUAAUGUUAGCUGAUGUUCUGUUAAGCCAUGUUGAUGUUACAAACUUUGAAUUGGCUUUAUGAAUGGUUUUUAUUCAAUGUCAUGCCUAGUUGUUGGUCUGCUGGCUGCUGAAGUCCUGGGGCUAACACUGUAGCAUACUGUAUAUACAUCAUUUCAUUUUCAGCUACUUUCAUUUUUCACAAUGUGCACAUCUUUAGAAAUAACAAAACUCAAAUAUGAUUGUAUGGCUUCCCUGUUUUUUGUUUAAAUGAUGUCUCGUGUCUUUCAUUGUGAAUGUUUGGAAUACCUACUGCAAUUACGUCCAACUACACCCCAACCCCCAUCUUCUCUUUUAAUUAGUUAUUUUCUAUAGUUUGUGAAAAAAAAAAGCUUACCUAACUUAUAGAUUUAUUAUAAAUGCCAUCCCCCUUACAGUUUAAAACAGCCAAAAACCUAUGCCCAUUUCAGAACCAGGUUAGAGUAAAUAUCCAAGAAAAUCUCAUUACACAGGUAUACAUGUUAAUCACAUGCAAUGGCCAAUAAUCUGAAGCAGUUUAAGGGUAAAAUUGUUCCUAUAUUUAGCUUUGUACUAGGGCAAUACCCUUAUAUACCCCCCAAGUUACAACCUGUUUUGAUGGAGGUCAAUACAUGCUCUGCAUUCGAUGUAUGUCCUGAAUGGUGCUAGAGAGCUAUUAAGACAUAACAGACAAUACUACUUACUUAUGGAUAGCCAUAAGUGGCUGUUGCACCUAUGAUCCCAUAAUUAAAAAUAUUUUAAUUACAUUCUUUAGACAAAACCAUAUGUUACACAAGAAAAAAUAGUUUAUU